UUUUUCUUUUUUCUUUUUUUUGCCUUUGAGGGCCCCCAUGCAGCAUAUAGAAGUUCCCAGGCUAAGGGUUGAAUCGGAGUUGCAGCUGCCAGCUUACACCACAGCCACAGCAAUGCAGGAUCUGAGCGACCUGAAGCUGCGAACUACACCACAGAUCAUGGCAACACCAGAUCCUUAACCCACUGAGCAAGGCCAGGGAUCAAACCCACAUCCUCAUGGAUCCUAGUCAGGCUCCUAACUGCUGAGCCACGAUGGGAAUUCCCAAGACCUGCUACACUCCUUUCUUUACCUACCUCUGUCCCGAAUUCUCUUCCAAAAGGUUCCUAAUCAUCAAAACAAUCCUUGGAUAAGGACAAGUCUUCCCUGUGCCACACUUGGCCUUCUGCAUCCUCAGAUUCAACCAACUAUAGGCCAAAAAUAUUGGGGUGGGGGGGAAGAUUCCAGACAGUUCCAAAAAGCAAAACUUGAACUUUUUUGUUGCUGUUGGUCUUUUUAGGGCCGCACCAGCGGCAUAUGGAGGUUCCCAGGCUAGGAGUCUAAUCAGAGCUGUAGCCACCGGCCUACACCAUAGGCACAGCAAUUCGGGAUCCGAGAUGCGUCUGCGACCUACACCACAGCUCACGGCAACGCCAGAUCCUUAACCCACUAAUCUAGGCCAGGGAUAGAACCGUGUCCUCCUGGAUGCUAGUCAGAUUCGUUUCUACUGAGCCAAGAUGGGAACUCCACAAAACUUGAAUUUGCCACACUCUGGCAACUACUACAUAGCAUUUAUAUUGUAUUAGGUAUUAUAAGUAAUCUAGAGAUGAUUUAAAAUAUGUGGUAGGACAUGCAUAAACGUAUACGCAAAAUCUAUCUCAUUUCAUAUAAGGGUCUUGAGCAUCCACAGAUUUUUUUAUAGCCCUGGUGGGGGUGGAUGGGUGGCGUCUCCUUGGAACCCAUCCCCAAGUUACCAGGGGACAACUGUACUAUCAACUCUGCCCUUUGCCUACUUCUGUUCUUCUCUACUUCAAAAACUAUUCACAGUCUACUCACAUAUUCAACUCACUGCAGAAAAUAUAAGGAGUGUUGACAACCACAAUCCUUGCCCCCAAAGAGCACUGAGAAAGGAGCAAGAACAUGUUUAGAAGGGUAUAAUAAAAAAAGACGAUUAAAUGUGCACAAGAAAAUUACAAAAUGCCAUGAGAGAAACAGCUAGUUAAGGGAAUGUUAAGUUUCAUGGAAGAAGGAGUUUUUAAGAAAGGCCUUGGGAGUUCCAGUCGUGGCACAGCAGAAACUAAUCUGACUAGGAACCACGAGGUUGUGGGUUCAAUCCACAGUCUUACCCAGUGGGUUAAGGAUCCGGCGUUGCUGUGAGCUUGUGGUGUAGGUUACAGAUGUGGCUCAGAUCUGGCAUUGCUGUGGCUGUGGUGUAGGCUGGCAGCUACAGUUCGGAUUAGACCCCUAGCCUGGGAACCUCCAUAUGCCACGUGUUUGGCCCUAAAAUGACAAGACAAAAAAAAAAAAAAAAAAAAAAAAAAAAAAAAAAAAAAAAAAAUCUCAACAGAUGAUGAAGAACGGGAAAAGAGGGUACAUACAUGUGCAUGGACAUGGGGACACAGAAGCUGCAGCAGAGACGUGUGGGGAAACUGGGAGAUGGGGCAGGAAAGGGUCCUACCCAGACGUCAUAGCAAGGAGUCUACAUUUACUUCAGUGCACAAGUGAGAGACAUGCGACAAGAGGUGCAUUUAAGAUCUUCUGGCAGUUGUGAGGAAGAAACUGGACCAGGGCCCGGGAAGAAGAGCUGCUAUUCAAAAGGCUCUGAUGGCAGCUCAGCAGGUCUCCCACCACACUUGCCCAAUUUCUGCUUCCACAACAGCCUUGUCUUCUACUUAACCCGUUCCUCCACAUCUUCUCAAGCUUCCUCUCCUUCACCUAAAUCACUUACUAAAAGGGAAAAUAAGUUAAUGGUUUGUCCUACAAAAGCAAACAAAACCUAUGGUACAUAUUUUUUUCAACGAAUAUGUGGGCUUCUAUUGGGUGCCAUGUACUGCUCUAGGCAACAGAGACGCAAAGGUGAAGAAGGAGGCAGUUUCUAACCAUGGAGUUUACAUCUUAGCAGGGGGUGCGAGGGCAGGGAGGGAGGUUGUUUAAAUCCUCUGCAGAGAAAGAGAAAACGCGCGAGGGCUCCUGAGCUCAGGUGGGUAAAGAAGGAAACAGCCAUGCAUUUUUUAUGAGGUACACAUUUCAUAUUAAAAGGGAGAAAAAGGUUUUGGAGCCAUACAAAACUGGGUUCAAGCUAUGUUUUGUCAGAAUUUUAAAUAAAAUAAUAAAUAUAUUAUGCUUUGUGCCUGGCAUUGGUAAAGGUUUGUAUAAAUGUUAGCCAUCAGAUCAGAGGUUUAAUAUACAAAGAAAAUAAAUUUUGCACUGUUCUAACUAAAAACUAGGUAAUAAUGGAACAUCAAUUGUCUGAAACAAAUACUUAAAAGGUCUUCAGGAGAUGAACCACCUACAAACAAACCUGGGAAUAUUUUGUAAAACAGUAUUAAGAACCACCUUCAUCAGCACAUAAAAAGACAGUUCUUUUAUUCACUGCUAAAAAGAAAUGAGUAGAAAUGAAUCCGACUAGGAACCAUGAGGACACAGGUUUGAUCCCUGGCCUUGCUCAGUGGGUUAAGGAUCCGGCAUUGCUAUGAGCUGUGGUGGAGGUUGCAGACAUGGCUCAGAUCUGGUGUUGCUGUAGCUAUGGUGUAGGCUGGCGGCUUCAGCUCCAAUUGGACCCCUAGCCUGGGAACCUCCAUAUGCCUCGGGUGCGGCCCUAAAAAAAAGCAAAAAAGAAAAAGAAAGAAAGGAAGGAAGGAAGGAAGGAAGGAAGAAAGAAAGAAAGAAAGAAAGAAAGAAAGAAAGAAAGAAAGAAAGAAAGAAAGAAAGAAAGAAAUCAGAUAUAUGACGCCUGGUCAAUGUGGUGACUUUACAUUAGUGGAGAUACCAAGUGUACUACCAUUGGGUUCCUAAUGAACUGCUCACUGAGGAAGAUGCCUCAGCAGAUACAAAAGAACCAGUGUCAAGUAUUAAGAAUAUUGGCAAAAAAAGGGGAAGUAGAGAUAAUGCUUGGCCUCUUGGAAAAAAAGACUUCUGCUGAAACGUUUCUCUUUUUUCUGACUGCACCUGCAGCACAUGGAAGUUCCCCAGCCAGGAACCUUGAGCCACAUCUGUAACCUGUGCCACAACUGCAGCAAUGCCAGAUCCUUAACCCACUGGGCCAGGCAGAGACUGAACUGCUAUCAUCACAGAGACAGGCCAGAUCAUUAUUUUGUAACAGCAGGAACUCUAAACCUUUUUUUUUUUUGCCUUUUUUUUAGGGCCACGCCCAAGGCAUAUGGAGGUUCCCAGGCUAGGGGUCAAAUCGGAGCAACAGGUGCUGGCCUACACCACAGGCACAGCAAUGCAGGAUCCAAGCUGAGUCUUUGACCUACACCACAGCUCAUGUUAACACCAGAUCCCCUAACACACUGGGCGAGGCCAGGGAUUGAACCUGUGUCCCCAUAAAUACUAGCCAGGCUCAUUACCGCUGAGCCACAACAGGAACUUUUUAAAACCUAAGAUUUUGAUUCUGAAAAGGUACUGAUUUUUUAAAUCCAGAGAACAGGAGACUGCUGUGGCAUCCUUUGAAAGCUGAGCAAGAUAAGUUCAAUAAAAACAAGCAAGUAAUAAACGCAGGGAACUCAUUAAUUUAAAAAAGGGAUCAUGAACAGUGAACCAAAGGGGGAAAAGAAUCUGAAGCUUCCAUGGCACAUUCCUUUGAAAGCUGGCAGCAAAAUUCUACUUCAUUUAUUAAUUCACACAAAAGUGAUUUGCUGAGCACUAUCUACAUCCCAAGCACUCUUUCAGGGGAAAAGAAAAGUCCUGCCUUCACACAAAUGAUGUUCUACCAAGGAGGCCCCCAAAUGGCAAUUCUGCCCUCCACUCCAUACUUUUUCUACAAUCCAAACCCAAACUCUUCCCCUUCAAAGGUGUCACAAACUUAUUCUACAGGAGUUAUUUUCCAGUUCCUCCAAAAUAAACACAGUGUACAGGUUAAGGGCACAGAUUGUGGAGUCAGGAUGCCUGAUUGCAAAUCCUGGCUCUGCUACUUUUUAGAUGUAAGGUCCUGGGCAGAGCACUCAACCUCUCUGUUAGUUUCCUGGAAAAUGGGGAUAACAGUACUACCUCACAGGACCUAUACAAGAAUUGAGGUUAACGGUUUCAAGUGUUUAGAACAAUGUCUGGCAUAGAAUUUAUUAUUCACAUAAAAUACCUAUUUAUAUUAUUUUGAGGGGACUGCACCGCAGAAUGCAGACGUUCCCCGGGCCAGGGACCAAACCCACACCACAGCAUUGACCUGAGCCACAGCAGUGACAAUGCUGGAUCCUUAACCUGCUAGACCACCAAGGAACUCCCCACACUUCCUUCUGACAGUCCCUUCCCUGUAAUCGCCAGGCCCGGAGAGACUGAGCUUUGCCAUAUAAUACACCACAUCCUGCUGAGCCGUAGUUCUUGAAGGACCUUCCCUUGGAAUGCUCUCUAUCCAUCCUUCCAGGCCUGCUUCCAUGUCCCCUCCUCUCAGACUCCUCCAACGUUCUUCCCACUCUCUGUCAGGGGUAAAGUCUGGUUCUCUCCUGAACUCUGGCUAUGCCACUUAUGGGUCCUUUACAGAUUUUAUGAAUGUUAAUUUUUCAUGCCUGACUCUCCCACAGACACCAAACUGCAGGAAAAGAGAAGACCUUUGGCCUGUGACUUAUCUUUACGGACAGCCAACUUUUUAACUCCUUGCCAGCCAAUGUAGCUAAAUUUUAGGUUGAAAAGAGAGACAUUUAAUAAGUGACACAGGCUGCGAUGUCCUUCGCUCCAACUCAAAUCUCUCCUACUCAAUAUAUCAGAACUCAAAUCCACUUGCACAAACACUUCUUAACUAAAAGACAAAAAUCCUACUCCUGCUAUGUUUAUUUAUCUACUAGGAAAAACCCAGGACAGUAGCACUAGAUUCAAUGCAAUGUUUACUUUUUUGCUUAUGUCCAUUCACUAAGGUACAGGUGACUGUAAAUCCGUUUAGGUUCAUUUACACUGUGUGUGCUGAGGUUGUAGGAAGCAUUUGGCUGGAAUCUUCAGGGUAGGUUCACCAUGCCUCUGCCACCGAGUAGGAAUUACUGCACACAAAUGGGUUUACCCCAUUGCUUAAAACUCUCCAGGAGAAAUUCUCAUAGUUCUCCGAGAGCAGGGAGCUCUUUGGUUUGUCCACCUAAACCACUAACACUCCCUCUGACCUCAUCUGCUGUUGUUUUUCUUCUCCAAGAGUUGAGAAACAGUAGGCCAUCACUCCUAAACAUACCCUAAACAUACCCAUUAACUCAUUGCUUAGAAUAGCUUAUCAGGCUAAAUUAUUUCAUUUCUUUGGCUGAUAUUCUCUCCGAAUUUUUCCCUCAUUCAACUAUUUUAGUUACUCUUAGAGAUGCUUUACAAGUUUUCUACAACGAAUCCAAAUUGAACAUUACUUUAAUACCUACCAUGUGAAGGGGACAUAAAGAGAGAAAGACGAACAAGGCAUGAUGACCAUUUAAGAAUAGGAUCCUGUGGUGAAAUAGACACAUUCCAUAGUAACUGUUAACAUACAUUCCAUAAAUCACUACAAUAUAUGGAUAAAGACAGAGGUGAAAGAUAACGCAGAGGCUCAGAGGCAAAAUGGUACAUUUACUCUCAGUGCACAGACAGGCAAUGUGCCAGCUGCUGGGGCUACAAAAUAAAACAAAACACAGCCUUGACCACAAGGACCUUAGAGAGUCUAGUGCAGUGAUACUCAAAAUUAUUUUGCAGUUUUUCCAGCAAAAAUCUUAUACAGAUACUCAAGAAAGAAAGGGAUGAUGAGAGUUGCUCUGGCUGUGGAGCUGCUAGGAUGACUCUCACUUGUGCUCCAGACAGGCCACCUGGGGCAGCC
RNAcentral lists this transfer RNA (5947 nucleotides) under Sus scrofa (pig). Its description in RNAcentral is "lncRNA (ENSSSCG00005016298.1)". The record is from RNAcentral. Lineage: Eukaryota; Metazoa; Chordata; Mammalia; Artiodactyla; Suidae.